CCUUAUCAAGAGCGGCUGAGGGAACUGGCCCUGCGAAGCCCGGCAACCUGUUUUUCAAGGUGCUAAAUCCAGCGGUAUAAACCGGAAGAUGAGG
Molecule: non-coding RNA, 94 nt
Filed under: human gut metagenome
Description: SAM riboswitch (S box leader)
Rfam family: SAM riboswitch aptamer (S box leader)
About the family: The SAM riboswitch is found upstream of a number of genes which code for proteins involved in methionine or cysteine biosynthesis in Gram-positive bacteria. The SAM riboswitch acts at the level of transcription termination control.
Source: RNAcentral